AUUGAACGCUGGCGGCAGGCCUAACACAUGCAAGUCGAGCGGAUGAAGGGAGCUUGCUCCCUGAUUUAGCGGCGGACGGGUGAGUAAUGCCUAGGAAUCUGCCUGGUAGUGGGGGACAGCGUUUCGAAAGGAACGCUAAUACCGCAUACGUCCUACGGGAGAAAGUGGGGGAUCUUCGGACCUCACGCUAUCAGAUGAGCCUAGGUCGGAUUAGCUAGUUGGGGAGGUAAAGGCUCACCAAGGCGACGAUCCGUAGCUGGUCUGAGAGGAUGAUCAGUCACACUGGAACUGAGACACGGUCCAGACUCCUACGGGAGGCAGCAGUGGGGAAUAUUGGACAAUGGGCGAAAGCCUGAUCCGGCCAUGCCGCGUGUGUGAAGAAGGUCUUCGGAUUGUAAAGCACUUUAAGUUGGGAGGAAGGGCAGUAAGUUAAUACCUUGCUGUUUUGACGUUACCAACAGAAUAAGCACCGGCUAACUUCGUGCCAGCAGCCGCCGUAA
This 500-nucleotide ribosomal RNA is filed under the name uncultured bacterium. RNAcentral's name for it is "partial 16S ribosomal RNA". It matches the Rfam family "Bacterial small subunit ribosomal RNA", at positions 30 to 523 of the family's 1533-position model. The record is from RNAcentral.